UGCUGCCUAUACUGCAAGUCGAGCGGAUCUUCUCCUUCGUGGCAAAGUUAGCGGCGGACGGGUGAGUAACACGUAAGCAACCUGCCCACAAGACCGGGAUAACAUUCGGAAACGAAUGCUAAGACCGGAUACGCAAGCCUGGGGCAUCCCGGGCUUGGGAAACACGGCGCAAGCUGUGGCUUGUGGAUGGGCCUGCGGCGCAUUAGCUAGUUGGCGGGGUAACGGCCCACCAAGGCGACGAUGCGUAGCCGACCUGAGAGGGUGAACGGCCACACUGGGACUGAGACACGGCCCAGACUCCUACGGGAGGCAGCAGUAGGGAAUCUUCCACAAUGGGCGAAAGCCUGAUGGAGCAACGCCGCGUGAGUGAGGAAGGCUUUCGGGUCGUAAAGCUCUGUUGCCAGGGAAGAAUAAGGGCCAGUUAACUGCUGGUCCGAUGACGGUACCUGAGAAGAAAGCCCCGGCUAACUACGUGCCAGCAGCCGCGGUAAUACGUAAGGGGCAAGCGUUGUCCGGAAUUAUUGGGCGUAAAGCGCGCGCAGGCGGUUCUUUAAGUCUGGUGUAUAAGUGCGGGGCUCACCCCCGUGAGGCACUGGAAACUGGGGAACUUGAGUGCAGAAGAGGAAAGCGGAAUUCCACGUGUAACGGUGAAAUGCGUAGAGAUGUGGAAGAACACCAGUGGCGAAAGCGGCUCUCUGGACUGUAACUGACGCUGAAGCCCGAAAGCGUGGGGAGCAAACAGGAUUAAAUACCCGGGUAAUCACGCCCCUAAACGAUGAUUGGCUAGUGUUGGGGGGAUCGCCCCCUCAGGGCGAAAUUAACCCUUUAACACUCCCCCCUGGGAAUACGCUCCCAAAAUGGAACUCCAAGGAAUUGACGGGGAACCGCCAAGCAUUGGAAUAUGGGGUUAAUUCCAAACCCCCCAAAAAACCUUACCGGUCUUGAUUCCCCCAGACAGAACUA
Molecule: ribosomal RNA, 963 nt
Filed under: Firmicutes bacterium enrichment culture clone CTBE CDB1010C12
Lineage: Bacteria; Bacillati; Bacillota
Description: bacterial SSU rRNA
Rfam family: Bacterial small subunit ribosomal RNA
Source: RNAcentral